UGCAAGUCGAGCGGACAGAAGGGAGCUUGCUCCCGGAUGUUAGCGGCGGACGGGUGAGUAACACGUGGGUAACCUGCCUGUAAGACUGGGAUAACUCCGGGAAACCGGAGCUAAUACCGGAUAGUUCCUUGAACCGCAUGGUUCAAGGAUGAAAGACGGUUUCGGCUGUCACUUACAGAUGGACCCGCGGCGCAUUAGCUAGUUGGUGGGGUAAUGGCUCACCAAGGCGACGAUGCGUAGCCGACCUGAGAGGGUGAUCGGCCACACUGGGACUGAGACACGGCCCAGACUCCUACGGGAGGCAGCAGUAGGGAAUCUUCCGCAAUGGACGAAAGUCUGACGGAGCAACGCCGCGUGAGUGAUGAAGGUUUUCGGAUCGUAAAGCUCUGUUGUUAGGGAAGAACAAGUGCGAGAGUAACUGCUCGCACCUUGACGGUACCUAACCAGAAAGCCACGGCUAACUACGUGCCAGCAGCCGCGGUAAUACGUAGGUGGCAAGCGUUGUCCGGAAUUAUUGGGCGUAAAGGGCUCGCAGGCGGUUUCUUAAGUCUGAUGUGAAAGCCCCCGGCUCAACCGGGGAGGGUCAUUGGAAACUGGGAAACUUGAGUGCAGAAGAGGAGAGUGGAAUUCCACGUGUAGCGGUGAAAUGCGUAGAGAUGUGGAGGAACACCAGUGGCGAAGGCGACUCUCUGGUCUGUAACUGACGCUGAGGAGCGAAAGCGUGGGGAGCGAACAGGAUUAGAUACCCUGGUAGUCCACGCCGUAAACGAUGAGUGCUAAGUGUUACGGGGUUUCCGCCCCUUAGUGCUGCAGCUAACGCAUUAAGCACUCCGCCUGGGGAGUACGGUCGCAAGACUGAAACUCAAAGGAAUUGACGGGGGCCCGCACAAGCGGUGGAGCAUGUGGUUUAAUUCGAAGCAACGCGAAGAACCUUACCAGUCUUGACAUCCUUCUGACAACCCUAGAGAUAGGGCUUUCCCUUUCGGGGACAGAGUGACAGUGUGCAUGGUUGUCGUCAGCUCGUGUCGUGAGAUGUUGGGUUUAAGUCCCGCAACGAGCGCACCUUUGAUCUUAGUUUGCCAGCAUUUAG
This 1090-nucleotide ribosomal RNA is filed under the name Bacillus pumilus. RNAcentral's name for it is "bacterial SSU rRNA". It matches the Rfam family "Bacterial small subunit ribosomal RNA", at positions 56 to 1128 of the family's 1533-position model. Lineage: Bacteria; Bacillati; Bacillota; Bacilli; Caryophanales; Bacillaceae. The record is from RNAcentral.